UAAAUCUUAUAUAUAAAGAAGACUUCUAUUCUCUUCUCCUCUUGCCACGUCAUCAAAUAGGGCAAGGAAAACACGCCACGCGUCCAUCUCUUUUACGGUUUGAUCUGAUACGACCACACCUGCACUCGGCUCCUCCUCACUCACUCUUCGUCUCCUAAAGCCUCCGACCACCGCCUCUGUAACGGCAUUGGGCUUUUGAGUAGUGUAGUCUCCGGUUAUAUUUAUGUGCUACGUUUGUGGUGGGUUUAUUAAAGGCAACAUCACUUUUCCACUUAUUCAUCAUUUACUCUCCUUUUCAAUUAGUAAUCAAAUGAAAAAUUCAGUUGUUGAGAUCUUGAAGAAUCUGAGAGGAUUUUAAAUUGAGAGACGAAGGCUUUGCUGGGAUGUAAAGAAGGUGAGGUAAAGGAGAAGAGAGAACGCGGUGGGAGUGAUAUUGGUGGUGAAUCUAGCUGGCAGCGAUGAAGUAGGGGACAUAGAUGAUUGCGAUCGUGGCAGUAAAUUGUCAAGAGUAAUACUGAACAGAUUUUGCCAUGUCUGCACCUGCUAAAAAAAAUUAUACAGAAGCUAAGCCAAGGAGAAAGAUCUAAUGCUUGGGAUAUGGGUUUCGACAUGGGUGGAGUUUUUGGCAAGUUAUCGUCAUCUAAAAUUGACAUAUCGGACUUUGAUUUCUCAAGCCCAGUCAGGAAAACCACAAAGACGAAAGAAAGGUUAGGCGACUAUGAACUUCAUUCAAGCCCACGGAAGAAGGCAAACGAGAGUAGGACGACCAAGUCCACAGAUUCCAAACUCCAAAGAGUUCACUGCUACAAGAAGAACUGAUAUGUCUGACUCUGUGGACAUCAUUCCAGACUUACUAACAACUAGACAAGUGGCCUCCAGGAGUCCAGGGACAAAUACCGAUGUCAAGGAAAAUGAUUCAGCUGACAACGUCUACAGAUAGUAUGAGCAGACACUGGAAACAAGCUGAUAUUAUUUCCAAUAGAGCGUGAAAUUCUCUAUGGAGAUGGAAUCACCUCAGCAUCUAACGAUGAGAGCCUCACGAGUUCAUACAAUGAGUGGAAAACUUCAGUCCGCCAACAUUUCACCAUCGAAGAAAAUAAACAGCAUCACCUCGCCAUUACAUUCUUCUGAGACUGCACAUACUGCAUGAAGUAGAGAAACCAUUCUAUGAAAUAUGUAGUUCUGCUGCGAAAGUAGAUUCUCCUAGGGAUCCAAAACAGAUUGCCAACAAUAAAAAGAUUACACCACGAGAUCAGGUUAUGAAGCAACGAGUAUAAAUACACCAUCUUCCAGCGAUGAACAGCACAGCUCACCGUAACGUCUCCUUCUCCUCUGUUUCUGAAAAUCUAGGAAUGCCAAGAAAGGUGGAAAGUUUAUGGGGAUCGAUAUAGUUCUGGUAGAUGAGAAGGAUGCAGUCUACAAUGAUUCAGUGAUGGAUUAGAGUCCACAGAGUUGAACAUGUUCCAAUGCCUACUCAGAGAGGGAGGUAGUUAUCAGCUGAGUUCAUUUGAUGUGACAAAGAGCAAUCAGUACUCUCAGAGAGCCAGAAAAUCACGGCAAGCUCAAGCUCGGCUCUUACGAGGGUACUAUGUUUCUUGGUUAGUUAGACGGACUUAGAUUAGCAGAUUGGUGCUUCCCUCCUUCAGUCAAUAGCUUAUGACCGAGAGAUUAAAGCCAGAUUUCGCGUAUUGCCCAACUCCAAUGGAACAUGGAUAGUACAUGGUAGUUUCACCUUGAAGUAUUUGCUCUUAUCUCUCAGUUUCCUUAGCCAGUUAGUACAAAUGAUUAUCAUCAUGGUCAUAGACAUGUCUGGUGAAGUAAGCCAACACAGACUUUCACCAGCAAUAGCUUCCAAGAAUUCGAAAGCGAAGGCGUCUCUCUCAUCACACGUGUUCUUUGAUGAUGUGGUUCCCGAAAUUUGCAUUGACACUUUGUAUCCGAUGUGGUGUAUAACCACAGCGAUAUUUCUGGAGGGGUUUCCUCGAGUCCAAAAUCUGAGUCAAAGGUGGUUGAUGCUUGUGGUGUGAACAAAUCACUGAAGAAUGUGGUUUUAAAGAAUGUGACAACAUGAUCGUCGAAGAGCUGGAGUUGGUGUGGCAUGACUCAACCAAUGGCUCGAUCAAGACUGACACUCAGUUAGAUGGCCUCAAUGGAAAUGAACCAUCUUAGUUCUAGAAAUGUGUUAUGGUCAGCGGUUAAUGAGACUUUAAGAAAGCAAAACAAGUUGUUUUAGUGCCUUCAAUUAUUUCCAAACAGAAGCUUCCAAUUAUAUAUAGGCACAUACACUUCAAGUAUCAAUUGGGAGUCAAGGGCCGCUAUACAAAUCAGAUUAUGAAAGUUGUUUUUUUUCUUUUGUAUAUCUAUAUUGAAUCAAAACAAUGAGAAGAAUUGUAACUUUAUGAUGUCUUUCUAUUUUUUAGUUGUGUCUGUUUCA
Molecule: long non-coding RNA, 2434 nt
Organism: Raphanus sativus (radish)
Lineage: Eukaryota; Viridiplantae; Streptophyta; Magnoliopsida; Brassicales; Brassicaceae
Exons: 13
Source: RefSeq, a predicted model, not a curated record